Molecule: long non-coding RNA, 7118 nt
Organism: Rhododendron vialii
Lineage: Eukaryota; Viridiplantae; Streptophyta; Magnoliopsida; Ericales; Ericaceae
Exons: 3
Source: RefSeq, a predicted model, not a curated record
GUCUUGGUGUAGGGUUGUUGGUUAUGGAAGUCUUGUGAAGGAUGAUUGAAAGAGCUGAUAUUCAUGUUAGUAAUGGGACUUUUUAGAAUGGUUCAGGGUAGGCCGAGGUGGUUGUUUCUCAUUCGGUGUAUGCUUACGAUGCUAUUGUUUUUUGUGGCACAGACACAACUCAAUUUGAUUUGAUUAUCUUAGGGGCAUUUUGAUGUGUUUCUGAGGCAGUGGCCGUCUCAAGGUUCAUUUGGGGAAGUCUGAGGUUAUUUCUAUGGGAAAGGUGGAUGGUGUAGAUUCGUUAGAGGCUGUUAAUAUUGUGCAUCGGUAUGAUGGUUUUGGCUUAUGCAACUCUUUCAAAGUACUGUGGCCCAUCUUUUUUGGAAAGAAGAAGUUGAAUUUCAAGUACUAGUAUAUAAGCUUGUGGUGGCAAGUGGGUGGGGGUGGUGUGCAAAUGGGAUAAUUGAAAAAGCUUAUGAUCAUGUUAACUGAGAUUCUUUGUUAUACGUUUUUGGGGAGAAGGGUUUUGGUGGGCAGUGGUUCAACUGGAUAGAUUUUGUAAUUCUGCAAUUAGAUUAUUGGUCUCGGUGCAUGGUUCUUGGUUAUGGAAGCCUUGAGUAGGAUGAUUCCAAUGGUUGUGAAAUGAGGCUUUCUCAAAUGUUUCAGGGUAGGCAGUUCUAUUGAGGCUGAGGUUAUUGUUUCGCAUUUGCUGUAUGGAGAUGAUUCUAUUGUUUUUUUUGGGCACAAACGCAACUCAACUGGGUUAUCUUAGAGGGAUUUUGAUGUGUUGCUGAAGUAGUGUUUGAUCUUAAAAUUAAUGUGGAAAAGUUUAUUCCUAUGGGAGAGGUGGAUGGCAAAUACAUGGGGGGUAUGCGUGCAAAUUGGAUAUUGGAUACAUGGGGGGCUGACGUGGUGAAUACGUGAAAAGGGGUUUUGGGGGGCAGUGGUUCAACUGGAUAGAUUGUAAUUCUGCAAUUAGAUUAUUUGUCUCGGUGCAUGGUUCUUGGUUAUGGAAGCCUUGAGUAGGAUGAUUCCAAUGGCUGUGAAAUGAGGCUUUUUCGAAUGUUUCAGGGUAGGCAGUUCUAUUGAGGCUGAGGUUAUUGUUUCGCAUUUGCUGUAUGGAGACGAUUCUAUUAUUAUUAUUUUUUUUUGGCACAAACGCAACUCAAUUGGGUUAUCUUAGAGGGAUUUUGAUGUGUUGCUGAAGUAGUGUUUGAUCUUAAAGUUAAUGUGGAAAAGACUGAGGUUAUUCCUAUGGGAGAGGUGGAUGGCGAAUACGUAGGGGGCUUGUGUGCACAUUGGAUAUUGAAAAAGCUUAUGAUUAUGAUUAUGUUUUUUUUUUGUCAUUCGUUAAACCUAAUCUACUCUAUCCUAGGGAACUUGGGGAGGCGGAGGGGGAUGGGUGCUUGUGAUUAUUUUAACUUGGCUUUUUUGUUAUAUGUUUUGGAAAGGACGUGAUUUGGUGCGCUUUGGUUUUUGCAUCUCUUGAGUUAGAUUAUUCUCCAUUUUGAUGUCUGCUUUUUCAUCAUCCUUAUGGAAGUUUUGAGUAGGAUGAUUCAAAUGGCUGUGUGAUGGGGCUUUCUGUAGUGUUGUAAGAUAGGCAGUUUUAAUGGGGUUGGGGUUGUUUUUUCUCAUUUGCUGCAUGCAAGCAAUUCUAUUGAUUUUUGUGGUGCGGACAACUCAAUUGGGUUAUCUUUGAGGGAUUUUGGUGUGUUUUGAGGUAGUGUCUGGUCUCAAGGUUAAUAUGUAGGAAAGUCUGAGAUUAUUCCUGUGGGAGAGGUGGCUGGUAUAGAUUUGUUAGCAGUGGUCUUAUGUCUAAGGUCAGUUCUCCCCUUCAUCUUCUUUAACAUUUUGUUGGGUUGAAGUCUAAUGUGGUUUGGGAUUCAAGUUUUCAGAUGCCUCUUAUGGGAUUGAAGAGGCAGUAUGUUGAAAGAGGCAAGGAUGACUCUUAUUUGGAGCACUUUUCUAGCUUCCCUGUGUACUUUAUGUAUCUUUACUAUCCCAAUAUUAGUGCAAAAAGUUAGAAAAUCUGUAGAGUGAUUUCCUUUGGUGGGGCUUGUUCUUCUAGGUGGUUCAUGUGCCAUAUGGGUGGGGCUUUGGAAGGGUAUUACAAAAGGUCGGGGAGAGUUCUCUUAGGUAUACUAGAAUGAAGGUAGGGACCGGGUUAAAAGUGAAAUUUUGGAAGCAUGUUAGGUGUGGUGACGAGAGGUUGAGGGAUGCUCAUCCUUUUAUAUUUCAAUUGGAGGCGGAUGUGACAUCCUUUUACAAGGUCUUGGUUGAGGUAUCGACUUAUGUUUGAUUUGGGCGAGAAUGGUUCGGGGAUAGAGUGGGCUGACAAAGAUGGAAGGUUAGGAUUUUGAUCAUGUUUUGCUUGGUGUGGCUAAUUUGGCGAGAGAGGAAUAGUGAUUUUGAUAAGGGUUGAGAUGCCUAUGUUUAGACUUAGGAAUCUUUUCCUUUCCAGUUUGCAUAGUUGGGAGUUGAGGGAGUGCAAUCCUACCCUCGACCGGUUUCUUGAUAUGAUAAUGUUUUUGGAGUUUAGAGUGAAGUACAGGGGUUUUCUUGUCUUCAAUUUUUGUGUGAGGUGUAUGGCUUUUUUGUCCUUGGCCUUUUGUGCAUAGGUAGCAUCCCCUAUUAGCUGUAAGAUGUCUUUGGGUAGUUACUUUACCAUUUAACCACAGGCAUAGAACUUUCUUUUGGUGCUUAGGGAUUGUUGAACAAGUGCAUGGUUCUAUGACCAGUAUGAGGAACUUGUGAGUUUCAUAUUGAUUGGCAGUCAUAAUGUGACUGAAAUAGAUGGAGAGAUUUGUUUGAGGAAGAAGUAGUACAUAUAUUUGAAGUUUGGCAUCAGGUCCAUGUAUCCGCUGCAUUGUAGACCUGUUGGUUUAGGAACCUAGAUAUCAUGUGGUCUGCAAUGGCGUUGAAUGCAGUUUUUUGGUUGAGUAAGGCAGCUAUGAAUUUUGAUGGAUCCUUAAAAGGAUAUUUUGGAUGGCCAAAUAUAUCCCCAUCGGUUCUUAUAACCUUGAUGCUCUAACUUCCAGAAGGGUUGGUUGACAAAAAUGUUUUCGAAAGCCUCUAUUCUUCAUGCGUUUUUUUUGUGUGUGUGGGGCAACAGCUUACAAGCUUGUUAUUUUUGUGUAUUUCCAGUCACUUAAAAAUACUGAUGAGUUCAAUACAAAAAUAAUCUUUCCAGUACUUAAAAUGUUGUCACAGAAACAUCUUUUUCCACAUCUAUAUGAUUUGCUAUGAACUUUGGCACUGUGAUAUCAAAGUUGUAUGUUCUACUCUAUUUUUUUCCCACCUGGAUUGAGGCCCGUAGGAAUCAGGUUCAGGCUAGCAAUUAACAACGUUUAGAUUCCGUGUGAGUUGUUAACAUACAUCCAAAAGAGGCAAUUCACUACCUCUUUCAAUUUUUGCUUUCUGUUUGGAUGAAUGUUUUCAAAAAAUCCAUGAACAUUUGAAGAUUUUGCAUGCUUUCUUUACCCAAUUGGCUAUUUGUGAAUCAAGCAUUCGUGCAUCAAGCGUGAUAAUCUUAGUUGGUUGAGACUGUGAUCUUAAACUGUGCUUUGAGACUAGUUUGUUCAUGUAGUUCUGGUUACAUUGAUGCCUCAGUGUUUUGAGCGUAACACCCCUUGUUUUUCCACGCGCACACUGACGGUCAUCAUCGAUUUAUGAGUCUACUUUUGUGACCGCGUGAUGGAAUUCCUCGUUUUGAUCCCAACGUGACCAGUGCUUGAUUGACCCACGGGUAGUUUGCCCUCGAAGACCAAUUAGGUGCUUACAACCUGCUAAAUCCUAUGUAAUUGGUCUCCCUUGAUAGACUAGCAGCAAUAUUGCGAUGGAAAGACCUGCCUCUGAGCGAACGUUGCAACAUUCUCAUUGUGGGCGGGAUCGGAUAUGGCUGCCUUCCCAAAGAGUGAAAGCCGUCUAUGCGACAUUAGAAUUACAUCUAGGGAAUAAGUUGCGAAGGAAAAGGCUACCUGUUGGGAAAGAGUGAAGCCUCUGAGGUGAACAUGAUGGAAUGCCAAUAAUGCUCAUGAGUGUUGAAACUGCCAUCUGCAAGACAAUGGAAAAAAAAAAUUAUUGCGAUGCUAAGUAUGGGGUAAAAAAUGUAUUGCGGGGAUUACCUUGGUUUGACUUCUUGUACAAGUCUAAUUGACGAUCAAAUCGAGGAAUGAUGUCUUGGUCACAACCUACGAUUCAUCUAAGUGCUGAAGUCAGUUCACUUCCACAGACAGGGUGUGCACGUGUUCACUAUACUGAAAGUGUCUAUGUGUCCUGGACUUGAUUGAUCACUCUAUAUCAGGCAUGUGAGUGAUAUCAGAAAUCUCAAUCAAUUCUUGAUUUUUAUUGCUACAUUAUAGCGAAUGCUUGGUUAUUCUGAUUGGUUUUUUUUGGCAUGCAAGGUGCUCAAGUUCAUGAUCGUAUAGUAAUUGCUAAAACUGUUUUCAAGCAUGAAUGAGAUUCCAGGCCUAAAAACCUUUUUUUUUCUCAUUCAAGCAGCUAAAAUUCUGGUGCCUUGCUUUUUUCGCAAUCUGGACGUGAAGUAAUUGCUAGACUGAACCCAAAAAUUCAGGCCUCCAGUUUUUUUAUUGGGGUAGGACUUACCAAGUUUAUGUCAUGAGUUCAACGUUGAGCAGCCAUUUUGGCAAGAUAUACUAUACAUCUACUUCACACAGAGUUAAGUCAAAUGACUAUUUUGCACAUCCAAUUAUGGGUUGAACGUAACUUCCCUUUAUUUCCAAAACUGAGUUUACUAACUGGCAUUGGCAUGUAUAAACGGCAAAAUGAUAUUUUGGUAUUUUCAGUUCAAUUCAGGGCUUAUGGGAACAUUUUUUAAGUCAACCCUUCUGGAGGCACUGAUUCCAUUUUUUUGUUGAUAUGUUAUGUAUAAGCUCGGAAAAUUUCAACACAAGUAACAAGUUGGCACUGGAAGCAGGGAUCUCAGAAAUCUGUGAUAUCUCUAUAGAGAAAAAGUCACGUUUGAACAAAGCAUCAUAGGACAGCUGAUAAGGAGAUUUGAGCAUAGGAUUGAGCAACUGAAAUGAGUCUCCGCAUUUGUGGCAAUAGCGUGUUAAAGGAAGAUGUACUUGGUGUUUUAUUGAUAUGAUUAUAUUGGGUCUUUGGGGCUAUAGAGUUGAAACAAUAGAGUAAUCUUGAUCCAAUUAUCUUGGGAUUGUAGUGGCAAUAGAAAAUCAGGGUCAGAAUUUAGAAAUGUCGCUUAGGCUUGUAGGUUGUGGUUCAAAGCCACAAACAAGUUUUUAACUCCGCCUGUGUCAUGCUUAACCACUUGAUUAGUACACAGCCGGUCCCAAGCCCGGAGAAAGGAGGAGGGUUGAUUAGGUAGCUCCUAUCUUGUAAAAACUUGUUUGUCCCACUAGUUCAUGAAUCUGAAGAAUGUACAGAUUAUUUCCUUGUGUUAAAUCAGUUCUCUUUUGUUGGUGAAUUCCAGAACAUAAAAAACUGGAACCUCAUACCCUGAAGUCAACACAUAGCCGACAGAAUCGGCCUCUUUCCAUGGCCAAAUCUGGCUGUUCUGUGCUCAAACGGUUAACUAUCUCGAGGAAUUGUUGUUCUGUCCUUCUACGAAAUUACUAGCUGUUCUCCAGUGGUUAAUCUAAUUAUCAUUUAUAGCUCAGCGUACUGAGAUGGACCCAUUUAGCCAUGCUUGAUCAGUAACCUUUCUCAUGGGCCUUAUCCAGUUUUAAGAGUGGGGUUGUGUAAGCAUGGAUUGUGUACUCACUUCUAGUCUGCUCCUGUUUCCAUCACGUUGUCGUUAUACCGUGUACCAUUAUUUUUCUUUUUUUAUUUUUGCAAUUCUAUCGUAUUUUUUCACCUAGUUAACAGGUUCUGAGUAUUAGCAGGCUGGGUGGAGUUGGUGCAGUGGCCCAACUUGCAGCUGACAUUCCGCUACCAUCAGUUAAGGGUCAGUUCUACUUCAACUGCUAACUUCAAGGGUCUUUAAUUGACUGUAACUAAGUUGUUUUCCGUGAAAUAAUGUUGAUAAAGUUUGUACUCCAUGAAAGACAAAACAAGGUCAUGAAUACCUCACUGUUGACUAACAGUUUGGUGCAUUUCUUUUGGGAUCUACUUUAACUGGUAACUGUUAUGCAAAGGUCCGUAAUUAAGUUGUUUUAUUUGAGGUGAAUGUUUAUCAUGCCAGUACUCUUUGGAAGACAAAUCAAUAUCUCACAGUUGACUAACAACUGUUAUGAUGGGCAGAAAGAGGUGACAAAGUACAAAUACCAUAAAACCAUGAAUUCUAUGUGGUCAGAGGUUUGAUAUUAGGGGUCCUUCAGUUUGUCAAACGCUGAAAAGAUGAAUUCAGAAGAAUCUGUUAAGAGUGCAGAAAAGGAAAGGUGAGUCCCAUCCUUUGUCAUUGGAAAGAUUUUUAUUGACUAAUACAUGACAUGGCAUUCAUCAAGUUACUCCACAGUUUGACUCUCAAGUCUCAAGUCCGUUAUCAAUUCAAUUUCUAUGGAGUGGCAUGUGUGAUUAAAUGGCGACUAGGCCCACUAGGGCAAGCAGUCUCUAAUCGGUAGUUGGUUGUAAGGCAGGCAAAAAAGCGAAGAGAAAUUUUGAGUCCCGUGCUCUAACAAAAAACUGUUUGUCGACAUAUAUGUGUGGUUUACUUGGUUUCUGUUACGCUUGAGUAUGGAUGCCACGUAAUCAUUUUUUGCUCCUGAGUUUGGACUCACAAGUUGCAUGUGCAUAGCCAGUUUUUUUUUUUUUUUUUGCAAUUCACCUUUAAUUUUUCAUCAUUGACAAAUUUCAUGGUGGUUUAUGAAAGCGAAGUAAUUGUUGUUGCCUCGUGACUCCAGUUUUGGUGCUGAAUUCUGCCAAGGUUGCUAAUCCAGAAGUGUUCAACUUGAGAUGCUCAGUGCACAAUGAUCUGCCAAUAGCUCCUUGCUAGAUUUCUUCAGAUUCUUUAAAGGGCCGAUGUAAUGUCCGUCUGUUUCGUUUGUUUGGCAUGUAUUUCUUAAGUUUAAAACUUGGUUGUAUCUUUUGCUUUUAUGCAGUAUGAUGAUCUCUUUUUUCCUGUGAAGAAGAAAAGUAAUGAACUUCGCAGAUAAAAUAACGAUACAAUUAACAGAGACAAUAGAGACAGGACAACAGAAUAAAGCCUAUGAUUU